CGCUGGCGGCAUGCCUAACACAUGCAAGUCGAACGAGACCUUCGGGGUCUAGUGGCGCACGGGUGCGUAACGCGUGGGAACCUGCCUUUAGGUUCGGAAUAACUCAGAGAAAUUUGAGCUAAUACCGGAUAAUGUCUUCGGACCAAAGAUUUAUCGCCUUUAGAUGGGCCCGCGUAAGAUUAGCUAGUUGGUGGGGUAAAGGCCUACCAAGGCGACGAUCUUUAGCUGGUCUGAGAGGAUGAUCAGCCACACUGGGACUGAGACACGGCCCAGACUCCUACGGGAGGCAGCAGUGGGGAAUAUUGGACAAUGGGCGAAAGCCUGAUCCAGCAAUGCCGCGUGAGUGAUGAAGGCCUUAGGGUUGUAAAGCUCUUUUACCCGAGAUGAUAAUGACAGUAUCGGGAGAAUAAGCUCCGGCUAACUCCGUG
This 428-nucleotide ribosomal RNA is filed under the name uncultured bacterium. RNAcentral describes it as "bacterial SSU rRNA". It matches the Rfam family "Bacterial small subunit ribosomal RNA", at positions 34 to 507 of the family's 1533-position model. The record is from RNAcentral.